RNAcentral lists this ribosomal RNA (324 nucleotides) under uncultured eukaryote. Its description in RNAcentral is "partial 18S ribosomal RNA". It matches the Rfam family "Eukaryotic small subunit ribosomal RNA", at positions 1470 to 1796 of the family's 1831-position model. The record is from RNAcentral.
CCCUUAGAUGUUCUGGGCUGCACGCGCGCUACACUGAAGCUAUCAACACGUUUUCCCUCCCUGAGAAGGGCGGGUAACCUUUUGAAUCAGCUUCGUGGUAGGGAUCGGGGCUUGCAAUUGUUCCCCGUGAACCAGGAAGUCCUAGUAGACGCGAGUCAUAAGCUCGCAUCGAUUAAGUCCCUGCCCUUUGUACACACCGCCCGUCGCUACUACCGAUUGAACGUUUUAGUGAGGCAUUUGGACCGACGCAUCUCAGUUUAACCGCUGGUUUGUGUUGGAAAGACUUCCAAACUUGAGCGUUUAGAGGAAGUAAAAGUCGUAACA